Molecule: long non-coding RNA, 839 nt
Organism: Mustela lutreola (European mink)
Lineage: Eukaryota; Metazoa; Chordata; Mammalia; Carnivora; Mustelidae
Exons: 2
Source: RefSeq, a predicted model, not a curated record
GACUGGCAGAAAGGCUUAAUACACCCACACAACCCCAAGAGAGGGGAAAACCAGCAACCUCCUCCUAGGGAGUUUAAUGAAAAUUAGCAGGUAAAAGAGGCCUCCUCAGCAGCACGCUGAAAAUCAAAGAGGGCGGCCGGAGGGCCGAAGGGUUCGGACUGCGGAGGAGAGCUACGUCCUCGGACCCCACCUCCCUUCACCUUCCCGGCAGGACGAAAAAGGCGAAGGCUCAUUAGUGCCUUCGUUAAUUGACACCUGUAAUGAGGAAACUUUCCGAGAGGUGGCAUUUAGAGACUUGGAACUCCGGAAGGAAAGCCCCCAAGGAAUACUUGUUACUGGUUUAAAACAGUCAUGGUAGGGCUGAACCUGUGUUUGAGUCCUUGCCAGUGAAAUGUGAGCAGAAAUCUGCAGAGUGGAUCUUUUGGAAAGAAUUGCCCAUUACUAAUAAAAAAGGGACAAAUUCAGUAGUCCUCACCCUUAUCCCUUCUUUCUGCAUGAAACGUGGUCUUGAUAUACAAAAUAAUACAGCAUCUGUUGUCUAAUUUUUGUUUCUGUUUUUUACAAUGAAACCACAAAUAGGAUAAAAGCGAACUAUAAAGUUGAUAGUGCAGAAAAUUUAGAGGUGGGUCUCUAAUACAUCCUAGAGCAGCAGUUCCCCAUGCCCCCCCUAGUUAUGUCUGCCCCGUUUUCUUUAAGCCAUUCUUAGGUUUCCAUUACUUGUGGCCAAACACAUUCCUGAUACAGAAAGUGAGGACAACUAUUACUGUACAUGUGGAGAGUACUUCUAGGAUGUAUUGAAGACACAGUCUGAUCUUCAAAGAAAAAUUUUUUUAAUAAUU